AUACGGAGGACGCGAGCGUUAUCCGGAUUCAUUGGGUUUAAAGGGUGCGCAGGCGGCCGUGCAAGUCAGCGGUGAAAGCCCGGGGCUCAACCCCGGAAGUGCCGUUGAUACUGCAUGGCUGGAAUGCGGUCGAGGCGGGCGGGACGUGGCGUGUAGCGGUGAAAUGCGUAGAUAUGCCACAGAACGGCGUGAGCGGAGGCAGCUCGCCAGGCCUGCAUUGACGCUCGGGCACGAAAGCGUGGGGAGCGAACAGGAUUAGAUACCCUGGUAGUCCACGCCGUAAACGAUGGGCGCUCGUCGUCGGCGGCAGACAGUCGGCGGCCAAGCGAAAGCGAUAAGCGCCCCACCUGGGGAGUACGGUCGCAAGGCUGAAACUCAAAUGAAUUGGCGGGG
This 393-nucleotide ribosomal RNA is filed under the name uncultured bacterium. RNAcentral's name for it is "partial 16S ribosomal RNA". It matches the Rfam family "Bacterial small subunit ribosomal RNA", at positions 523 to 918 of the family's 1533-position model. The record is from RNAcentral.